GCAAGUCGAGCGCUUUCCUUCGGGGAGGAGCGGCGGACGGGUGAGUAACGCGUAGGAAUCUACCCGGUAGUGGGGGACAACUUGUGGAAACGCAAGCUAAUACCGCAUACGCCCUAUGGGGGAAAGCGGGGGAUCUUCGGACCUCGCGCUAUCGGAUGAGCCUGCGUAGGAUUAGCUAGUUGGUGAGGUAAAGGCUCACCAAGGCGACGAUCCUUAGCUGGUCUGAGAGGAUGAUC
This 236-nucleotide ribosomal RNA is filed under the name uncultured bacterium. RNAcentral's name for it is "partial 16S ribosomal RNA". It matches the Rfam family "Bacterial small subunit ribosomal RNA", at positions 57 to 305 of the family's 1533-position model. The record is from RNAcentral.